Long non-coding RNA from Gambusia affinis (western mosquitofish), 3190 nucleotides. RefSeq lists it as uncharacterized. The record is from RefSeq and is a predicted model, not a curated record. The transcript is spliced from 3 exons. NCBI's taxonomy places the organism in Eukaryota, Metazoa, Chordata, Actinopteri, Cyprinodontiformes, Poeciliidae.
AUUUUUGAACCUGGAAUGGCAUAUGUCGCCCUCAGUCGCACAACUUCCCUGGAAGGACUUAAAAUCAUUGAUUUCGAUGAAAGUAAGAUCUACGCUGACGAAAACAUCAGAGCAGCUAUGGAAUCAAUGAGACCAGCAUCGUUUUUGCACACCAGACCGCUCUUGCAUUUUCAGUCUGGUCAUCAGGGUGCAACAUUAAGAAUUGUCCACCACAAUGUCGAAGGUCUUGUCUGUCACUCUGAGGACAUGAAACAACAUCAUGAACUCAUGUUGGCAGAUGUCUUAUGCCUAACGGAGACUCAUUUGUUUGGAUCUUCUGUUCCAGCUUCUUGCCAAAUAGAGGGCUAUUCUUUCUUUUCACGGAACAGACAUGUCUCCUACUCGAACAGAGUCGACAUUGCUACCAAAGAGGGAGGGGGAGUAGCGACUUACUGCCGGAGUCUUCUCCAACCGCAGGAACGUAGAUUUUUUAACCAGGUUACCGAUCUUGAAUUUAACGUCGUCAAAGUGGACACCCCAAUCAAAACCCUCAUCGCGACAGUUUACAGGCCUCCAAGUUAUGAUCUUAGAACAUUUUUAAGAAAUCUGACAAACCUCUUGGAUGGCCUGAAUUCAAUGGACAUUCAGCCCAUUGUCGUGUUAGGAGACUUCAAUGAGGACCUUAUUCCUCCAGGGAAAAAAGCCAUCAGUGAGUUGUUUAGAGCCAAAGGCUUUAUGCAACUCAUCUCUCAUCCAACCACAGAAAAACGUACUCUUCUUGACCACUUGUACAUCUCCAAUCCAGAAUACUGUGUCCAGUCGGGUGUCUUGCAGGCUUACUACAGCUACCACAAUCCCAUAUACUGUGUGUUGGCUUCAGUAUAAGCUGCAUCUACAGUGACUUGCAAAAAUAGUCAUGUUUCUUGAAAUUUUCCAUAUUUCAUCACAUUACAACCACAAAUGUGGAAAUACAGUGGAGAGAUCAAGUAUAUAAUAUACACUGUUGAUUUUUCCAGGUAUAUACUAAGUAAUACACACUUUUCAGUUUAUUUGCAAAAGAUUCAUUCAAUCAUGUAUAUUUUUAAGCCUCCCUAGUAGAGUCUAUUCUGGGGUCCUGGAAAAGAUGGUCCGUAAGGCCCUGGAGAAUGCAUAGGAGUUCAUCCAAACAAUCUACAUGUGUUUUAUGUACUCGCAGAAGGCUUUUGACAGUCUCCCUCUGGGAACCUUGCAGGGGGGGGAGGGUGGCGGGUUCUCUGGGAGUAUGGUGUCCAAGGUCUUUUGAUAUGGGCUGUAAGGUUUCUGUGUGAUUGGUGCUAGAGUCUAGUCUGCAUUGCUAGCAGUAAGUUGGACUCUUUUCUGCUGAGAGUUGGACUCCGCCAAGGAAACGAGCCUGACUCUGCUGGCAAUGCACACCAGACUCUGACAUCAGUCAUAAAGGGACCUAACAGCCCCUAUCACAGGGCCUGAUACCCCAUACUCCUGGAGAACCCCAGCAUGGUUCCCAGAGGGACACAGUCGAAUUCCUUCUCCAAGUCCACAAAACACAUGUAGAGAGGUUGGGUGAACUCCCAUGAACCCUCCAGGACUCUGCUGAGGUUAUAGAGCUGGUCCAGUGUUUUAUGACCAUGGUGAAAAUCACACUGUUCUUCUUGAGUCCUACCUUUGACUAUUUGACAGACCCUCCUCUCCAGGACCCCCAAAUAGACCUUGCCAGGGAGGCAUUACUCCCCACAAAUAUAUUUGUGGUUGUAAUGUGACAAUAUGGAACAGUUCAAGGGGUAUGAUUACUUUGUUAGCACUGUACAUCUUAAUCCCGAAUUCAUGACAGGAAAUUCUUGUUGGAGAAAAUGUUAAGAUCUCAUGUCAUUCUUAAUAUCACUUUAUCUAACGGCGGUUUCUUUCAUACAUGCAGCAAUCAGAAAGCAGUGUGGAUUAUAUUUUUUUAUCAUUGUUACAGAGGGUUUGAUAUGUAUUUAAUCAUUGUACACAUUUGUGAAUCAUGGUGUAGCUUGUGGAUUUUGUUGUAGGCAUAAAAAUAUUUUUGUACAGUUUGUGAAUCAUUUCGAUACUUAUUUAGCUCUGUAGAAAGGAGAAUUUAUAAUCAGGUUUUGUAUGCAUACAUGAAGGUUUGAGCUUUGAGAAUACGAAAGUGGCUGAUCUUGAAACACUUAUCGGUUCUCUGCAAGAGUAGUUGCUGGAAAUAUUGGACCAGGAAGCAGCAGAUAAAACAAUCAGUUACUACACGUAUAUUCUGUUCAUUUUUAAAUCAAAAUUAAUUCAAAUAGAUCUUCAAUCUGGCCCAGAGCAUUUUCCUUAUUUUUCUAAUCCGGUUACAGUAACUGUUAUCCUUCGAAUGAAUCUAAUUAUUUGCGAAACUCGUUCUUUAUUUUGUAGCAUUUAAUUAAAGCGCUCCUUGUUUUAUCUCUCCCCAAUCAACACUGUAGUUUUUACUGCUGCAGCCCCCUAGUGGUUACUUCACUACAAGGACAAAAGUUCAACUCACUUUUGUCCUAUUUGGCUCCCUCCACAUAGUCAGAAUUUGUCCUGUUUUGGUGGAAUUAACCCUUUUUUCUUCCAGUUUUAGUCUGUUUUUGCAGGUUAUUUUGCAGGUUGUUCCACACAGAAGCUAUCCUUGGAGGCUGCCAAGAAAAGAGAGAGGAAACGAGAACUGGAAGUUCAGCCCAUGAAAGUCCAGAACACUCUGGCCUACCUCAUGGACUUGGACCCACACCCAAUGAGAAGAUGGAGUUCUUGUUUCUUUAGAAAGUUUGUGAUGUGUAACUCAAGAUUGGACGCCGAAGAAGUUGGACAAACCGAAGACCUUUGAAGAAGGAGUUCUUUAUUGUCAUUGUUUAUAAUUGUAAAUAGUUUUUCUUGUAUGUAUGUAUGUAUGUAUAUAUUUAAAAUAGUUUUAUUUAUACUAUAGAGAGUGUAAUAUGUCAUGUUAGAUUAUAGUUUCAGUUCCUGUAUGUGUAUAUAGUUAUAGUUCCUGUAUGUGUAUAGUUAUAUAAGUUUUAUAUUUAUAACAAGUGAAACAUCAUGGCAAGGCAAUGAUGUUUCACUUGUGAGAGUAAAUCUGUCGGGCCUCACCUUGACACUCAGGCAACAACCCUGAGUGCCACAUGGCCAGACAGGACACAUGUAAAAUAAAAAACAUAGCAAAAUUUUUUAUUUAUAUUCUUUAAAUGUUGUAAUUUUAGUUCAUUGUAAA